AGCGCUUUUCGGAGUGACUCGAGUGGCGAACGGGUGAGUAACACGUGGGUGAUCUGCCCUGCACUUUGGGAUAAGCCUGGGAAACUGGGUCUAAUACCGGAUAGGACUACGAAUCGCAUGGUUUGUGGUGGAAAGCUUUUGCGGUGUGGGAUGGGCCCGCGGCCUAUCAGCUUGUUGGUGGGGUGAUGGCCUACCAAGGCGACGACGGGUAGCCGGCCUGAGAGGGUGUCCGGCCACACUGGGACUGAGAUACGGCCCAGACUCCUACGGGAGGCAGCAGUGGGGAAUAUUGCACAAUGGGCGCAAGCCUGAUGCAGCGACGCCGCGUGAGGGAUGACGGCCUUCGGG
Molecule: ribosomal RNA, 348 nt
Filed under: uncultured bacterium
Lineage: Bacteria
Description: bacterial SSU rRNA
Rfam family: Bacterial small subunit ribosomal RNA
Source: RNAcentral